UGGUGUGUUUGGAUAUUCUGUGUUUGCUU
Molecule: non-coding RNA, 29 nt
Filed under: Rattus norvegicus (Norway rat)
Lineage: Eukaryota; Metazoa; Chordata; Mammalia; Rodentia; Muridae
Source: RNAcentral